Long non-coding RNA from Hyla sarda, 948 nucleotides. RefSeq lists it as uncharacterized. Lineage: Eukaryota; Metazoa; Chordata; Amphibia; Anura; Hylidae. The transcript is spliced from 6 exons. The record is from RefSeq and is a predicted model, not a curated record.
CCGGAUCCGUCGUCCAUUCGCCUGCAAUCUUAGUUUUUCUAUAUAUGCAAAUGUGGCUGUAACUGGCGCGGGCGGGGUUUUCAGGAGCCUAGUGGCACUGUGACCUCAGCGCCACCCGUCUGCAGAGCCGCCCGCUUAUGAAUAUUCAUCCCCCCUCCCUACGGCUCUCCUCACCGCUCUUAACUGGUCUUCACUGCGCAUGCCAGGAAUCGGCACAUGCGCAGCGAAGACCAGUUAGGAGCGGCAGCGAGAGGGAGAGCCGGAGGGAGGGGGAAAUGAAUAUUCAUAAGUGGGCGGUGCUGCGGACGGUUACAGCCACAUUUGCAUGUAUAGAAAAACUAAGAAUGCAGGUGAAUGGCUGGCCGGAUCCGGGCAAGGUCUGACAUCUUGGUCACUCAUGGCAGACAUGAAAAGAAAUGUAAGAUGAAGGUCAUCCCAGACUUAUUUCCAGACAAGUGUGCUCCAUCUUACCCACGAGCAUCAUCAAUGUACAGAGAUAUGCACUCUCCUGCACUCUCUCUAUCGAAUGAGGACUCUAGCAGCCAGUCCUCGGAGUGAAGUUACUUUUGAUUCCGCUCUAUGCCAGGUGUACUUGCAGCACACUGAGAGAUUAGCUUACAUGCUGCCCAUACAAGUCUACAGAGUGGUGAGGACGGAGAUGGGAAAAUGAGUAUGUGGAGAAACCAGAAGCCAAAAGUGACACAGAGAGACUGAAAACAGACAACACAAGAGCAUACCAUGACUGAAGCCAGGGCAGAUUAUCCACAUUGAAGAAGUUCUUCUAUAAAUUGAGAAGAAGAUAUUAUAGCAUCUGCUGAGAGUUCCACUGUAAGAAAUGUACCGAGGGCCUAGAGGAUUAAUUGUGCCUUCAACCAGGUUACUGCACACUCUAAAAGGUGACCACAUGUCACUAGGGAGUAUGCACCUGAGUUCACAUAGCUGAGCAUC